ACACAGCUGAAGCAAUCAGAGGAUUCAGUACAAAAUCUUGCGAAAGAGGUGGCACAGCUGAAAGAUGAACUUUCAGUUCAGCUGGAAAACUAUUCCACCUUGGACAAGCAAUUCGAAGAAGUCAGGAGCAGUAUGCAUGCUGAAAUUGCAGAACUACAUGCAGAGAAGGACGCAUCUCUAUUGGAGUUACAGACAUCUCAGGCUUCUGUCAGGAACCUUGAGGUUGCGCUUCAAACGCAAAAUGAGAACAUUUCAACUCUACAGCAAGCUAAUGAUGAGUUGCAGAAGAACAUUCGUACUUUGUCCGAGCAAACAGAACUAGCCAAGGCUGAGCUGCAGCAGGAGGUCAAGGCUACACAAGAAGAGAAGGAUGCAGUACUGACACAGCUGAAGCAAUCAGAGGAUUCAGUACAAAAUCUUGCGAAAGCGGUGGCACGGCUGAAAGAUGAACUUUCAGUUCAGCUGGAAAACUACUCCACCUUGGACAAGCAGUUGGAAGAAGUCAGGAGCAGUAUGCAUGCUGAAAUUGCAGAACUACGUGCAGAGAAGGACACAUCUCUAUUGGAGUUGCAGAUAUCUCAGGCUUCUGUCAGGAACCUUGAGAUUGCGCUUCAAACGCAAAAUGAGAACAUUUCAACUCUACAGCAAGCUAAUGAUGAGUUGCAGAAGAACAUUUGUACUUUUUCCGAGCAAACAGAACAAGCCAAGGCUAAGCUGCAGCAGGAGGUCAAAGCUACACAAGAAGAGAAGGAUGCAGUGCUGACACAGCUGAAGCAAUCAGAGGAUUCAGUACAAAGUCUUGCGAAAGAGGUGGCACGACUGAAAGAUGAACUUUCAGUUCAGCUGGAAAACUAUUCCACCUUGGACAAACAGUUGGAAGAAGUCAGGAGCAGUAUGCAUGCUGAAAUUGCAGAACUACGUGCAGAGAAGGACGCAUCUCUAUUGGAGUUACAGACAUCUCAGGCUUCUGUCAGGAACCUUGAGAUUGCGCUUCAAACGCAAAAUGAGAACAUUUCAACUCUACAGCAAGCUAAUGAUGAGUUGCAGAAGAACAUUUGUACUUUGUCCGAGAAAACAG
This 1078-nucleotide long non-coding RNA is filed under the name Panicum hallii. Its description in RNAcentral is "long non-coding RNA (PHAL_LNC000512)". The record is from RNAcentral. Lineage: Eukaryota; Viridiplantae; Streptophyta; Magnoliopsida; Poales; Poaceae.